ACCUGGUUGAUCCUGCCGGACCCGACUGCUAUCAGAGUGGGACUAAGCCAUGCGAGUCAACAUAGCAAUAUGUGGCAUACGGCUCAGUAACACGUAGUCAACAUGCCCAGGGGACGUGGAUAACCUCGGGAAACUGAGGAUAAACCGCGAUAAGUCACUACUUCUGGAAUGGGUAAUGACUCAAAUCUAUAUGGCCCCUGGAUUGGACUGCGGCCGAUCAGGCUGUUGGUGAGGUAAUGGCCCACCAAACCUGUAACCGGUACGGGCUCUGAGAGGAGGAGCCCGGAGAUGGGCACUGAGACAAGGGCCCAGGCCCUAUGGGGCGCAGCAGGCGCGAAACCUCUGCAAUAGGCGAAAGCUUGACAGGGUUACUCUGAGUGAUUUCCGUUAAGGAAAUCUUUUGGCACCUCUAAAAAUGGUGCAGAAUAAGGGGUGGGCAAGUCUGGUGUCAGCCGCCGCGGUAAUACCAGCACCCCGAGUGGUCGGGACGUUUAUUGGGCCUAAAGCAUCCGUAGCCGGUUCUACAAGUCUUCCGUUAAAUCCAACUGCUUAACAGGUGGGCUGCGGAAGAUACUAUAGAGCUAGGAGGCGGGAGAGGCAAGCGGUACUCGAUGGGUAGGGGUAAAAUCCGUUGAUCCAUUGAAGACCACCAGUGGCGAAGGCGGCUUGCCAGAAUGCGCUCGACGGUGAGGGAUGAAAGCUGGGGGAGCAAACCGGAUUAGAUACCCGGGUAGUCCCAGCCGUAAACGAUGCAGACUCGGUGAUGGACUGGCCUUGCGCUAGUCCAGUGCCGCAGGGAAGCCGUUAAGUCUGCCGCCUGGGUAGUACGGUCGCAAGACUGAAACUUAAAGGAAUUGGCGGGGGAGCACCACAGGGGGUGAAGCCUGCGGUUCAAUUGGAUUCAA
Molecule: ribosomal RNA, 905 nt
Filed under: uncultured archaeon
Lineage: Archaea
Description: bacterial SSU rRNA
Rfam family: Archaeal small subunit ribosomal RNA
Source: RNAcentral